AGUGAACGCUGGCGGUAGGCCUAACACAUGCAAGUCGAACGGCAGCACAGUAAGAGCUUGCUCUUACGGGUGGCGAGUGGCGGACGGGUGAGGAAUACAUCGGAAUCUACUUUUUCGUGGGGGAUAACGUAGGGAAACUUACGCUAAUACCGCAUACGACCUACGGGUGAAAGCAGGGGAUCUUCGGACCUUGCGCGAUUGAAUGAGCCGAUGUCGGAUUAGCUAGUUGGCGGGGUAAAGGCCCACCAAGGCGACGAUCCGUAGCUGGUCUGAGAGGAUGGUCAGCCACACUGGAACUGAGACACGGUCCAGACUCCUACGGGAGGCAGCAGUGGGGAAUAUUGGACAAUGGGCGCAAGCCUGAUCCAGCCAUACCGCGUGGGUGAAGAAGGCCUUCGGGUUGGAAAGCCCUUUUGUUGGGAAAGAAAAGCAGCAGGUUAAUACCCCGCUGUUCUGACGGUACCCAAAGAAUAAGCACCGGCUAACUUCGUG
Molecule: ribosomal RNA, 492 nt
Filed under: uncultured bacterium
Lineage: Bacteria
Description: partial 16S ribosomal RNA
Rfam family: Bacterial small subunit ribosomal RNA
Source: RNAcentral